Molecule: ribosomal RNA, 1031 nt
Filed under: Bacillus pumilus
Lineage: Bacteria; Bacillati; Bacillota; Bacilli; Caryophanales; Bacillaceae
Description: bacterial SSU rRNA
Rfam family: Bacterial small subunit ribosomal RNA
Source: RNAcentral
GCCUAUACAUGCAGUCGAGCGGACAGAAGGGAGCUUGCUCCCGGAUGUUAGCGGCGGACGGGUGAGUAACACGUGGGUAACCUGCCUGUAAGACUGGGAUAACUCCGGGAAACCGGAGCUAAUACCGGAUAGUUCCUUGAACCGCAUGGUUCAAGGAUGAAAGACGGUUUCGGCUGUCACUUACAGAUGGACCCGCGGCGCAUUAGCUAGUUGGUGGGGUAAUGGCUCACCAAGGCGACGAUGCGUAGCCGACCUGAGAGGGUGAUCGGCCACACUGGGACUGAGACACGGCCCAGACUCCUACGGGAGGCAGCAGUAGGGAAUCUUCCGCAAUGGACGAAAGUCUGACGGAGCAACGCCGCGUGAGUGAUGAAGGUUUUCGGAUCGUAAAGCUCUGUUGUUAGGGAAGAACAAGUGCGAGAGUAACUGCUCGCACCUUGACGGUACCUAACCAGAAAGCCACGGCUAACUACGUGCCAGCAGCCGCGGUAAUACGUAGGUGGCAAGCGUUGUCCGGAAUUAUUGGGCGUAAAGGGCUCGCAGGCGGUUUCUUAAGUCUGAUGUGAAAGCCCCCGGCUCAACCGGGGAGGGUCAUUGGAAACUGGGAAACUUGAGUGCAGAAGAGGAGAGUGGAAUUCCACGUGUAGCGGUGAAAUGCGUAGAGAUGUGGAGGAACACCAGUGGCGAAGGCGACUCUCUGGUCUGUAACUGACGCUGAGGAGCGAAAGCGUGGGGAGCGAACAGGAUUAGAUACCCUGGUAGUCCACGCCGUAAACGAUGAGUGCUAAGUGUUAGGGGGUUUCCGCCCCUUAGUGCUGCAGCUAACGCAUUAAGCACUCCGCCUGGGGAGUACGGUCGCAAGACUGAAACUCAAAGGAAUUGACGGGGGCCCGCACAAGCGGUGGAGCAUGUGGUUUAAUUCGAAGCAACGCGAAGAACCUUACCAGGUCUUGACAUCCUCUGACAACCCUAGAGAUAGGGCUUUCCCUUCGGGGACAGAGUGACAGGUGGUGCAUGGUUGUCGUCAGCUC